GCGGCCGUAGCUCAGCGGGAGAGCGCCCGAUGCUUAUACCCGGGAGGGGGACCCCCGGGAGUUCAAGUCCCGGCGGCCGC
RNAcentral lists this transfer RNA (80 nucleotides) under Thermoproteus sp. JCHS_4. Its description in RNAcentral is "tRNA-Ile". It matches the Rfam family "tRNA". From Rfam's summary of the family: Transfer RNA (tRNA) molecules are approximately 80 nucleotides in length. Their secondary structure includes four short double-helical elements and three loops (D, anti-codon, and T loops). Lineage: Archaea; Thermoproteati; Thermoproteota; Thermoprotei; Thermoproteales; Thermoproteaceae. The record is from RNAcentral.